AAAAAAGGGCAUCCAGAAAUAGAGAGACUUUUUUGGGAAGAGCUAAAAAUCAUUCCUUAAGAUCAUUUUUUAGGGUGGAGAUUUUAGCUUUAGGUUCCCUUUGAGAGUUAAAUGAUACUUUAAAAUAAAGAGGGAAAGUUGAAAAAGAAUAAUAUUAUUUCAUUGAAGUGAAAAUAGCUAGAACCUUUUCUCUUUUUACUUCUGUUAUGUACUUGAAGUUAAAAUACUAAGAGAAGUUUAUAGGUUUGGAUCUGUUUGUCUGAAUCAAAAUUCAAUACCAAUUGGUUUGGUCAAAGUUGUGUCUGGGUUCUACUGGGUUCAUACUAUUCAGGUUUGGUUGAGUUAAGCUCUGGGCUGCUGUUGAUUUAUGCCUGUUACUGUUGUUCGUUGAUUUCUGAUUUCUGUCACUUACUGCUGAUGAUCCUUUAUUUUUGGCUUGUUAACACAUUUCCAGGUACAUACGUUGAACUAGUUAUGGUGUAUAGUUCAGAUUGGAAGUGGAAUGAAAAAUGCUUACCGUUUAGAUCCUAAAUAAUACGUGUUCAAUUUGUCCUAAUAGAGUAAAUAAUAGAUGAUUUGUAUUUGUUCAGGUUUACUGUUAACUUGGGUUACAUUGUACUAUUGGAUUGUUAAUUUUAGGAUUGUAUUAAGUAGGUUUGUUUGGAUUCGUUUUGUAUAGGGCUGUUAGUAUACCAUCUAGAGAGACAAAAGGCGUAUAAUUCUAGUUUUAUUCUCUAUGUGAGUGUUAACGCGAUUAUCUGCUCGUAUGUAUAUGCUCGUUUGUAAGACUCUCAGCAAUUGUUAGUGGUCUGUUUAAAAUGUGAAUCUUCCUGGUGUUAAAAAAGCCUUUAGUAAUUGAGUCCUUAAUAGCUCAUCGGUCUACUUGUGCAAAUUAAAUGUAUUGAGUUUGUUUAGGCUGUGGUGUUCAACGUGUGGAUGAUUUUGUCUUCUGGCCACAGAAGUUUGAGAACUAACUUAUUCGCCUUCAAAUU
Molecule: long non-coding RNA, 992 nt
Filed under: Nicotiana benthamiana
Lineage: Eukaryota; Viridiplantae; Streptophyta; Magnoliopsida; Solanales; Solanaceae
Description: long non-coding RNA (NBEN_LNC027433)
Source: RNAcentral